UACGGGGGGGGCAAGCGUUGUUCGGAAUUACUGGGCGUAAAGGGCUCGUGGGCGGCCAACUAAGUCGGACGUGAAAUCCCUCGGCUUAACCGGGGAACUGCGUCCGAUACUGGAUGGCUUGAGUUCGGGAGAGGGAUGCGGAAUUCCAGGUGUAGCGGUGAAAUGCGUAGAUAUCUGGAGGAACACCGGUGGCGAAGGCGGCAUCCUGGACCGACACUGACGCUGAGGAGCGAAAGCCAGGGGAGCAAACGGG
RNAcentral lists this ribosomal RNA (253 nucleotides) under uncultured bacterium. RNAcentral describes it as "partial 16S ribosomal RNA". It matches the Rfam family "Bacterial small subunit ribosomal RNA", at positions 524 to 776 of the family's 1533-position model. The record is from RNAcentral.